This 71-nucleotide transfer RNA is filed under the name Podarcis lilfordi (Lilford's wall lizard). Its description in RNAcentral is "tRNA.Ala". The stretch from base 7 to 63 matches the Rfam family "tRNA", at positions 8 to 63 of the family's 71-position model. Rfam says of the family: Transfer RNA (tRNA) molecules are approximately 80 nucleotides in length. Their secondary structure includes four short double-helical elements and three loops (D, anti-codon, and T loops). The record is from RNAcentral. Lineage: Eukaryota; Metazoa; Chordata; Lepidosauria; Squamata; Lacertidae.
GGGCCAUAGCUCAGUGGUAGAGCAGCUGCUUUGCAUACAGAAGGUCCCAAGUUCAAUUCCCGGCAUCUCCA